This 608-nucleotide ribosomal RNA is filed under the name Colletotrichum acutatum. Its description in RNAcentral is "eukaryotic LSU rRNA". The stretch from base 237 to 390 matches the Rfam family "5.8S ribosomal RNA". Lineage: Eukaryota; Fungi; Ascomycota; Sordariomycetes; Glomerellales; Glomerellaceae. The record is from RNAcentral.
GGAAGUAAAAGUCGUAACAAGGUCUCCGUUGGUGAACCAGCGGAGGGAUCAUUACUGAGUUACCGCUCUAUAACCCUUUGUGAACAUACCUAACCGUUGCUUCGGCGGGCAGGGGAAGCCUCUCGCGGGCCUCCCCUCCCGGCGCCGGCCCCCACCACGGGGACGGGGCGCCCGCCGGAGGAAACCAAACUCUAUUUACACGACGUCUCUUCUGAGUGGCACAAGCAAAUAAUUAAAACUUUUAACAACGGAUCUCUUGGUUCUGGCAUCGAUGAAGAACGCAGCGAAAUGCGAUAAGUAAUGUGAAUUGCAGAAUUCAGUGAAUCAUCGAAUCUUUGAACGCACAUUGCGCUCGCCAGCAUUCUGGCGAGCAUGCCUGUUCGAGCGUCAUUUCAACCCUCAAGCACCGCUUGGUUUUGGGGCCCCACGGCACACGUGGGCCCUUAAAGGUAGUGGCGGACCCUCCCGGAGCCUCCUUUGCGUAGUAACUAACGUCUCGCACUGGGAUUCGGAGGGACUCUUGCCGUAAAACCCCCAAAUUUUUUACAGGUUGACCUCGGAUCAGGUAGGAAUACCCGCUGAACUUAAGCAUAUCAAUAAGCGGAGGA